Molecule: ribosomal RNA, 739 nt
Filed under: uncultured Prevotellaceae bacterium
Lineage: Bacteria; Pseudomonadati; Bacteroidota; Bacteroidia; Bacteroidales; Prevotellaceae
Description: bacterial SSU rRNA
Rfam family: Bacterial small subunit ribosomal RNA
Source: RNAcentral
GCACUCUUUGGACGUCGACCGGCGCACGGGUGAGUAACGCGUAUCCAACCUUCCCAUUACUGUGGGAUAACCUGCCGAAAGGCAGACUAAUACCGCAUAGUCUUCGAUGACGGCAUCAGAUUUGAAGUAAAGAUUUAUCGGUAAUGGAUGGGGAUGCGUCUGAUUAGCUUGUUGGCGGGGUAACGGCCCACCAAGGCGACGAUCAGUAGGGGUUCUGAGAGGAAGGUCCCCCACAUUGGAACUGAGACACGGUCCAAACUCCUACGGGAGGCAGCAGUGAGGAAUAUUGGUCAAUGGACGGAAGUCUGAACCAGCCAAGUAGCGUGCAGGAUGACGGCCCUAUGGGUUGUAAACUGCUUUUGUAUGGGGAUAAAGUUAGGGACGUGUCCCUAUUUGCAGGUACCAUACGAAUAAGGACCGGCUAAUUCCGUGCCAGCAGCCGCGGUAAUACGGAAGGUCCAGGCGUUAUCCGGAUUUAUUGGGUUUAAAGGGAGCGUAGGCUGGAGAUUAAGUGUGUUGUGAAAUGUAGACGCUCAACGUCUGAAUUGCAGCGCAUACUGGUUUCCUUGAGUACGCACAACGUUGGCGGAAUUCGUCGUGUAGCGGUGAAAUGCUUAGAUAUGACGAAGAACUCCGAUUGCGAAGGCAGCUGACGGGAGCGCAACUGACGCUUAAGCUCGAAGGUGCGGGUAUCAAACAGGAUUAGAUAUCCUGGUAGUCCGCACAGUAAACGAUGGAU